Molecule: unclassified non-coding RNA, 343 nt
Filed under: soil metagenome
Description: partial contains 5.8S ribosomal RNA, internal transcribed spacer 2, and large subunit ribosomal RNA
Rfam family: 5.8S ribosomal RNA (bases 1-120)
Source: RNAcentral
GAUGAAGAACGCAGCGAAAUGCGAUAAGUAAUGUGAAUUGCAGAAUCCAGUGAAUCAUCGAAUCUUUGAACGCACAUUGCGCCCGCCAGCAUUCUGGCGGGCAUGCCUGUUCGAGCGUCAUUUCAACCCUCGACCUCCCUUUGGGGAAGUCGGCGUUGGGGACCGGCAGCACACCGCCGGCCCUGAAAUGGAGUGGCGGCCCGUCCGCGGCGACCUCUGCGUAGUAAUCCAACUCGCACCGGAACCCCGACGCGGCCACGCCGUAAAACACCCAACUUCUGAAUGUUGACCUCGAAUCAGGUAGGACUACCCGCUGAACUUAAGCAUAUCAAUAAGCGGAGGA